AUGCAGAUAAGAGAACCAAAAACUACCACAUUGAUAUCUGCUUCAGGAAAAAUGGUUUGCACUGGAGCAAAAAGUGAACAACAAUGUAAACUCGCAGCUAGAAAGGGCUUUGCGUUUAUUGAUCAAGUCAAAUAUUUGACGAUGUUUUCUUCUCCCAACCUGGCAAGGGGAUCGUCGCCGGAUCAUGGACGUGACCUCAAAGGGUUCAGCGGCGGAUCAGGGGAUCGGCGUGCAGCUCUAGAAGGGGAUCGCCGCCUCCAUCCUGAAUGUGAUCGGCGGUGGGUUCUAAACGGAUCGGCGACGUAUCCUCAAGCGGAUCUUGAUGUGCGAGGGCGGCAGCGAAGGGAUGGAGGGCGGCCGCGAACGAGGGCAGUUCUUUUUCCUUCGCUUGUAGAUGGGUGCGACGGGAGGUGCGGCCCUAUACUGCAUGGGGGCAUCGGGACGUGUUUUUUUGGUUUGACGCGGCUAACAGUGAGGAGUAAGAAGUCAGUUGGAGUGAGAAGUGAGACAAGUACCAUGAGCUCAAGUGAUUCAUUCACCAAGCUGUCCAUUAUAUAUUCUAGAGACAAACUUCAUCUCAGGAUCAGAUUCGCGUAA
This 597-nucleotide ribosomal RNA is filed under the name Triticum aestivum (bread wheat). Its description in RNAcentral is "partial small subunit ribosomal RNA". Lineage: Eukaryota; Viridiplantae; Streptophyta; Magnoliopsida; Poales; Poaceae. The record is from RNAcentral.